CUUCUGUAUCUUGGAAAGAACAAGUCCCAUCAAGGUUGUUUAAAAUGUACUUUUCUAUAAGAUUUACCCAUUUCUCAUUCAUUCCAUUAUAGAUUUGGAAAGAUAUUCCAGUAUGGAGUAGAAGGAUGAGACUCCCCCAUAGCUUCCGUGGAUAUCUCUUAAUACAGGCAGAUUAAGAAAGCAAAUGAAUCCGUGGGUUUCCGAAGAACAGGACAAUCAAAUAGUGAAAGAAUGCUGUGCAUUUUUAGCCCUCUAUCCUCUGUAUUCAGCCAUUUGCCACUUUCUGCCCUCCCUUCCUGUGCAAUAGACUUCCUCCUGGACUUGCCCUGUUAGCCUUUAGAACAGAAGACCCGAGGCCCUCUCUUUCUCGGGUCUCAAGCUGAUGGGGUAAUCAUACCUGGUAGAAGUUUGUACCGAGAGCUUGGGUGCCCUCGUUCCUUGAGUGACAGCUUGAUACUCCCUUACCCUCACUAUUCAGUCACAAAUACGUGACUGGGUGAAGAUGUGCGAAGGCUCUGUCGUGCAGCAGACACUGCAGUGCGAGUAACACUGAGUUGAGACUCGGGUCAUGUUCUUCAAUUUGAAUGUGAGUCUAGUUUGCUGUUCAUUUCAGAGAAAAGAGGAUGGGGGAGACUCCAAUGUGCUGGGCGAGGACUCAGUCUCAGCCUCCUGCCUCGUGUUCUAAAGCGAUCAUACUAUUCAUUUACUGCACAAAUAUUCAUUUUUUGCCAUUCGUGUGACUCCCUUCGUCUGACUCCACUACACAGGAAUGAAUGCAGCAUUCCUGCCCUCAUGGAGCUUGAAGUCUCACCGGGGCUCCCACGAAAAGACUGAAGAAAGGACGGUUACGAAAGGAAACAGGUUACAAAUUGUGAUCAUGGACACCGAAGAAGCCAAUGGGAGACCGAGCAGGGAAUUCAGGCGGAGGGCAGAGGGAGGAGGUCAGGCAAAGUCUGACAAGGCAAGUGACCUCUCCUUGGGGGCAAGAGAGCAGCGCACAGCAGGAAUCAGAGAGCAGGUGAAAUUCACCCAGCCGAAUGACAGACGGAACAGAGCCAGAAGGUCCCCGUGCAUCUCAUUCCCCAGCAGCUGCAAUCCUGUGACGCUGACGGACUCACAGAGAAAGUGCCGAGAGGUCUGGAAAGUCAUCCCAGCUGUGACUUCCAGGUGCCAGGGGUCCGAGACCGGAAGAUUCCAGCAGGGUUUUCCCAGAAUGCACCAUUGUUCUUCAGCCUGGCCUCCACCAUUUCCAACGUACAGGCCAGGUGCCUCCAAAGACAUUAGCUCCUUCUCUCCUCUGAUCUCACCCUAACAUUCGGCCGCAGAGGGACAGUUUUCUCUCCUGCCUUUUGAAGGAGUCAAUAGAAAACGGAACAGCUUUCCAGUUCUCCAUUCUCACCUUCCACACAGACCCUAUUUCCUGCCACAUUUCAAAACAUCUAAAAAAAUAUCACCACGGCGACGACGCUGUUGUUUCAAGAGUUUAAAUAACUUUCUAUAUCCAUCUCCUGUGUAAUCAUCUUCCAAAAAACCUCAAC
Molecule: long non-coding RNA, 1538 nt
Filed under: Fukomys damarensis (Damara mole-rat)
Lineage: Eukaryota; Metazoa; Chordata; Mammalia; Rodentia; Bathyergidae
Description: lncRNA (ENSFDAG00000022778.1)
Source: RNAcentral